RNAcentral lists this ribosomal RNA (301 nucleotides) under uncultured bacterium. RNAcentral's name for it is "partial 16S ribosomal RNA". It matches the Rfam family "Bacterial small subunit ribosomal RNA", at positions 509 to 807 of the family's 1533-position model. The record is from RNAcentral.
CAGCAGCCGCGGUAAUACGUAGGUGGCAAGCGUUGUCCGGAAUUAUUGGGCGUAAAGCGCGCGCAGGUGGUUCCUUAAGUCUGAUGUGAAAGCCCACGGCUCAACCGUGGAGGGUCAUUGGAAACUGGGGGACUUGAGUGCAGAAGAGGAAAGUGGAAUUCCAAGUGUAGCGGUGAAAUGCGUAGAUAUUUGGAGGAACACCAGUGGCGAAGGCGACUUUCUGGUCUGUAACUGACACUGAGGCGCGAAAGCGUGGGGAGCAAACAGGAUUAGAUACCCCUGUAGUCCCUGUCUCUUAUAC